CUACAGGCUUAACACAUGCAAGUCGAGGGGAAACGAUAUUGGAAGCUUGCUUCCGAUAGGCGUCGACCGGCGCACGGGUGAGUAACGCGUAUCCAACCUGCCCACCACUUGGGGAUAACCUUGCGAAAGUAAGACUAAUACCCAAUGAUAUCUCUAGGAGACAUCUGAAAGAGAUUAAAGAUUUAUCGGUGAUGGAUGGGGAUGCGUCUGAUUAGCUUGUUGGCGGGGUAACGGCCCACCAAGGCAACGAUCAGUAGGGGUUCUGAGAGGAAGGUCCCCCACAUUGGAACUGAGACACGGUCCAAACUCCUACGGGAGGCAGCAGUGAGGAAUAUUGGUCAAUGGACGAGAGUCUGAACCAGCCAAGUAGCGUGCAGGAAGACGGCCCUAUGGGUUGUAAACUGCUUUUAUAAGGGAAUAAAGUGAGUCUCGUGAGACUUUUUGCAUGUACCUUAUGAAUAAGGACCGGCUAAUUCCGUGCCAGCAGCCGCGGUAAUACGGAAGGUCCGGGCGUUAUCCGGAUUUAUUGGGUUUAAAGGGAGCGUAGGCCGGAGAUUAAGCGUAUUGUGAAAUGUAGACGCUCAACGUCUGCACUGCAGCGCGAACUGGUUUCCUUGAGUACGCACAAAGUGGGCGGAAUUCGUGGUGUAGCGGUGAAAUGCUUAGAUAUCACGAAGAACUCCGAUUGCGAAGGCAGCUCACUGGAGCGCAACUGACGCUGAAGCUCGAAAGUGCGGGUAUCGAACAGGAUUAGAUACCCUGGUAGUCCGCACGGUAAACGAUGGAUGCCCGCUGUUGGUCUGAAUAGGUCAGCGGCCAAGCGAAAGCAUUAAGCAUCCCACCUGGGGAGUACGCCGGCAACGGUGAAACUCAAAGGAAUUGACGGGGGCCCGCACAAGCGGAGGAACAUGUGGUUUAAUUCGAUGAUACGCGAGGAACCUUACCCGGGCUUGAAUUGCAGAGGAAGGAUUUGGAGACAAUGACGCCCUUCGGGGCCUCUGUGAAGGUGCUGCAUGGUUGUCGUCAGCUCGUGCCGUGAGGUGUCGGCUUAAGUGCCAUAACGAGCGCAACCCCUCUCCUUAGUUGCCAUCAGGUCAAGCUGGGCACUCUGGGGACACUGCCACCGUAAGGUGUGAGGAAGGUGGGGAU
This 1149-nucleotide ribosomal RNA is filed under the name uncultured bacterium. RNAcentral's name for it is "bacterial SSU rRNA". It matches the Rfam family "Bacterial small subunit ribosomal RNA", at positions 40 to 1180 of the family's 1533-position model. The record is from RNAcentral.